Scaptodrosophila lebanonensis is the source of this 656-nucleotide long non-coding RNA. RefSeq lists it as uncharacterized. The transcript has 3 exons. Lineage: Eukaryota; Metazoa; Arthropoda; Insecta; Diptera; Drosophilidae. The record is from RefSeq and is a predicted model, not a curated record.
CCUCAAAGUGCCCAGUUGGUUUAGCUUAAAUUUAAAGAAUGGAAAAGAUAGAAUUUGAGUUAAGAGAAGGCAGUCGCGCCGGUUGCUCACUCCUGCUAUUUUCACUAAGAAAACAAAGGGAGAAUCGGAGAUUGAAAUAAACUACGACACUGUCAAACGCACCCUGCAAAGAAAGAGACAGCCUUUCCUGCCAAAAUCUCCAACUACUCCAGAAAAUACAAGAUAAUCGCCUUGAUGCAAGCCAAUAUUCAGGAGCAAGUUCGAAAUUUUUUAAUUGAUGCUACAUUUAAAAUUUGCCCUUUUGGAGACUUCAAGUAACUUUUGAUUAUUUAUAUCAAACAUAUGCAAAAGGUAAGUUUUUUUCCAAAUAAUACUUAAUAAUUAAAAACUCCUUUUUAGAAAAUUCCAUUUAUAUUUGUUUUGAUGACGUGAAAAACGGAGCUUUGCUAUCAGCAUUUGUUCACAUACAUUGACUCCAAUCUUUGCUGUCUAAAUGGGGCAUCUUUCAUUUCGGAUUAUGAAAAGGCAAUGCGUAACGCUUUGAAAACCAUACAUCCCAACAUGGAUUUCUAUGCUUGCUGGUUUCAUUUUACUCAAGCAUGCAAGAAAAAUGCAAAAAAAACGAUUGGUUUUGAGCAUAUGCUAAAAAGCAACAA